Molecule: ribosomal RNA, 465 nt
Filed under: uncultured bacterium
Lineage: Bacteria
Description: partial 16S ribosomal RNA
Rfam family: Bacterial small subunit ribosomal RNA
Source: RNAcentral
GACGAACGCUGGCGGCGUGCUUAACACAUGCAAGUCGAACGGAAAGGCCCUGCUUGCGGGUGACUCGACUGGCGAACUGGUGAGUAACCCGUGGGUUAUCUGCCCUGUACUUCGGGAUGAGCCUGGGGAACUGGGUCUAAUACGGUAGCUGAUCCAGUAUAAGAUUAAUUAUUGGAAAGUUUUUUCGGUAUAGGAUGAGUUCGCGGGCUAUCAGCUGGUUGGUGGGGUAAUCGCCUACCAGGGCGGCGACGGGUAGCCGGCCUCAGAGGGUGGACGGCGACAAUAGGACUGAGAGACGGAGCAGAAGCCUACGGGAGGCAGCAGUGGGGAAUAUUGCACAAUGGGCGCAAGCGUGAUGCAGCGACGCCGCGAGGGUGAUGACGGCCUGCGGGUUGUAAACGCCUUUCGCUAGGGACGAAGCUUUUUGUGACGGUACCUAGCUAGGAAGCAACGGCUAACUACGUG